RNAcentral lists this ribosomal RNA (156 nucleotides) under Caryodaphnopsis tonkinensis. RNAcentral's name for it is "5.8S ribosomal RNA". It matches the Rfam family "5.8S ribosomal RNA". From Rfam's summary of the family: 5.8S ribosomal RNA (5.8S rRNA) is a component of the large subunit of the eukaryotic ribosome. It is transcribed by RNA polymerase I as part of the 45S precursor that also contains 18S and 28S rRNA. The record is from RNAcentral. RNAcentral also lists the same sequence under 4 other names. Lineage: Eukaryota; Viridiplantae; Streptophyta; Magnoliopsida; Laurales; Lauraceae.
GACUCUCGGCAACGGAUAUCUCGGCUCUCGCAUCGAUGAAGAACGUAGCGAAAUGCGAUACUUGGUGUGAAUUGCAGAAUCCCGUGAACCAUCGAGUCUUUGAACGCAAGUUGCGCCCGAGGCCACCCGGCCGAGGGCACGUCUGCCUGGGCGUCA